This 23-nucleotide small nuclear RNA is filed under the name Arabidopsis thaliana (thale cress). Its description in RNAcentral is "snRNA_04133". The record is from RNAcentral. Lineage: Eukaryota; Viridiplantae; Streptophyta; Magnoliopsida; Brassicales; Brassicaceae.
AAUAGCUCGCUUUGUCUUCACUG